ACUGUUUUGGCAGAUUAAUGUAAUAAAUUUAGGAUUUAUUUAUGUGGUAUUUACCACAAGCAGUA
This 65-nucleotide transfer RNA is filed under the name Nabicula flavomarginata. Its description in RNAcentral is "tRNA-Leu". Lineage: Eukaryota; Metazoa; Arthropoda; Insecta; Hemiptera; Nabidae. The record is from RNAcentral.